AUUAAUCAAUUCAAUUUUGUACCAAAACUUUUUUGGUUGGCUUAAUUUUGUUGUUUGAUUAAACCCAUCAAUCUAAACUUUUGAAAAAGCUUGUUGCUUAAGGUAUUAAAAACAAUUACAUCCGUAAUUAACGAUUUAAUUUGUUUUUAAUUAUAAAUUCAAACAACAAUUCGAAGAGGAGGAAAAUUUGAGAGCAAUUAAUGGGAUGGAGAGAAGAUCAAAGCCGAUUUGGUUGACUAAUAAUAAGUACCGGGUGAUUGUGCAAGCAAGCGUCCCAAUCCGUUAGAGCUUAUAGGACACAUGUCCCAAUUGACUCAACCUUGUGGAGCUACACGCCCAUUGUGGUUGGGGCACCUACUUGACCCAACUGCCCACACUGGUUUUGUCAAGGAAUUAAUUCUUCCUACCUCUUCAUUAUCUCCAACCUUUGGU
This 432-nucleotide long non-coding RNA is filed under the name Carica papaya (papaya). Its description in RNAcentral is "long non-coding RNA (CPAP_LNC012619)". Lineage: Eukaryota; Viridiplantae; Streptophyta; Magnoliopsida; Brassicales; Caricaceae. The record is from RNAcentral.